GACGAACGCUGGCGGCGUGCUUAACACAUGCAAGUCGAACGGAAAGGCCCUGCUUUUGUGGGGUGCUAGAGUGGCGAACGGGUGAGUAACACGUGAGUAACCUGCCCUUGACUUUGGGAUAACUUCAGGAAACUGGGGCUAAUACCGGAUAGGAGCUCCUGCUGCAUGGUGGGGGUUGGAAAGUUUCGGCGGUUGGGGAUGGACUCGCGGCUUAUCAGCUUGUUGGUGGGGUAGUGGCUUACCAAGGCUUUGACGGGUAGCCGGCCUGAGAGGGUGACCGGCCACAUUGGGACUGAGAUACGGACCAGACUCCUACGGGAGGCAGCAGUGGGGAAUAUUGCACAAUGGGCGGAAGCCUGAUGCAGCAACGCCGCGUGCGGGAUGACGGCCUUCGGGUUGUAAACCGCUUUCGCCUGUGACGAAGCGUGAGUGACGGUAAUGGGUAAAGAAGCACCGGCUAACUACGUG
Molecule: ribosomal RNA, 468 nt
Filed under: uncultured bacterium
Lineage: Bacteria
Description: partial 16S ribosomal RNA
Rfam family: Bacterial small subunit ribosomal RNA
Source: RNAcentral